RNAcentral lists this long non-coding RNA (795 nucleotides) under Coturnix japonica (Japanese quail). RNAcentral describes it as "lncRNA (ENSCJPG00005010618.1)". The record is from RNAcentral. Lineage: Eukaryota; Metazoa; Chordata; Aves; Galliformes; Phasianidae.
AUGCCAAAGAAGAUAUCCAUGUGUUUUGAAGAGCAGAAAUACUGGAAUGCAGCUGGAAAGCAGCUCAGGGCUCCUGCCAGUCGUACUGGCUCACCACUAAGAGUUUAUCUACACUCCACAAGAGAGCUUCUUCAGACCCAGACAGCUUCUGCUUCAUUUCAUCAUCAAGCACUACCUGCUAACUCUGGAAGUGAAGUCAUGUUUAUUGCCUACUCUUCUCAAAGAGCUGUUCACUGGAUUGUUGGGAAGCCUUCAACAUAUGUUUACAGUAAUGCACCAUGAUGUCAACUUCAGGAAACGUGGAAUGGGACCACUCAGAAAGGCUUGGUCAUGGCUUGCGUGAGGACACGUGCAGAGGACACAGACAGUGGUAGCCUUCCUGCUCUCUGGAAGUCACUGCAUGGAAAGAACCCGGAGACCCUCCGGUUCAGAAAAAUGAGGAGUCAAAACUAGCACCCAAGAAUUGCUAAUAGAGCAGAAGAAACCAGAACAAAUGGAAGCUACAGGUAAAACCAAAUCUCUUGGUCAGACACAGCUGAACAAACAUGACUUUGGCACUACUGAAACAACCAGCUCUCAGGGUGCUGCUCAGGCACUCACCUCCCCAGUUGCUGAAGGCCACUAAAGCCUCACAGGUAUGCUUGAGAUGGCAUGAGGUUAGCCAGUGGCAGUGGCCACAUAAUGCCUUCUUAUUUAGGAAUAGAUUUUUUUUUCUGAGGGAGAAAACAACAGAACAAAAGCAACUGUAAUGAAGUAUUUGCACAUCCAUACACCCUGGGCUGGAGCGUCCCUUCC